RNAcentral lists this ribosomal RNA (393 nucleotides) under uncultured bacterium. RNAcentral's name for it is "partial 16S ribosomal RNA". It matches the Rfam family "Bacterial small subunit ribosomal RNA", at positions 523 to 918 of the family's 1533-position model. The record is from RNAcentral.
AUACGGAGGAUGCAAGCGUUAUCCGGAUUUAUCGGGUUUAAAGGGUGCGUAGGCGGUUUGCUAAGCGGGAGGUGAAAUGCCGGCGCUCAACGUCGGAAGUGCCUCCCGAACUGGUGGACUGGAAUGACUCUGCCGUGGGAGGAAUGUGUAGUGUAGCGGUGAAAUGCUUAGAGAUUACACAGAACACCGAUUGCGAAGGCAUCUCACGAAGGGUUGAUUGACGCUGAGGCACGAAAGCGUGGGGAUCAAACAGGAUUAGAUACCCUGUUAGUCCACGCAGUAAACGAUGAUGGCUAACCGCUGGUUUAUUCGGAUCAGUGGCCAAGCGAAAGCGAUACGCCAUCCACCUGGGGAGUACGACCGCAAGGUUGAAACUCAAAGGAAUUGACGGGG